AAUAAACGCUGGCGGCGUGCCUAACACAUGCAAGUCGAGCGAGAAAGCUCCUUCGGGAGUUAGUAAAGCGGCGAACGGGUGAGCAACACGUGAGAAUCUACCCUUUAGUGAAGAAUACCCUCGAGAAAUCGAGGCUAAUACUGCAUACGUCCCUUCGGGGAGAAAGAUGGCCUCUUUGCUAUCGCUAAAGGAUGAGCUUGCGUACUAUUAGCUAGUUGGCGGGUAAAGCCCACAGCAUGAUGUUAACGGCCUGAGAGGGUGUACGGUCACACUGGAACUUAGACACGGUCCAGACUCCUACGGGAGGCAGCAGUGAGGAAUCUUGCGCAAUGGGCGAAAGCCUGACGCAGCGACGCCGCGUGGAGGAUGACGGUUUUCGGAUUGUAAACUCCUGUUAAGCGGGAAGAAAGCCUUGUUUCUAAUACAAGCAAGGUAUGACGGUACCGCUAGAGAAAGCACCGGCUAACUUCGUGCCAGCAGCCGCGG
This 486-nucleotide ribosomal RNA is filed under the name uncultured bacterium. RNAcentral's name for it is "bacterial SSU rRNA". It matches the Rfam family "Bacterial small subunit ribosomal RNA", at positions 29 to 520 of the family's 1533-position model. The record is from RNAcentral.